CAGGAUUAGAUACCCUGGUAGUCCACGCAGUAAACGAUGAAUGUUAGUCGUCGGGGGCCUAGUGUCUUCGGUGAUGCAGCUAACGCAUUAAACAUUCCGCCUGGGGAGUACGGUCGCAAGAUUAAAACUCAAAGGAAUAGACGGGGACCCGCACAAGUGGUGGAGCAUGUGGUUUAAUUCGAAGAUACGCGGAGAACCUUACCUAGCCUUGACAUAUUUAAGAACUCCGUAGAGAUACAGAGGUGCCUUCGGGAGCUUUCUUACAGGUGCUGCACGGCUGUCGUCAGCUCGUGUCGUGAGAUGUUGGGUUAAGUCCCGCAACGAGCGCAACCCUCGUCACUAGUUACUAACGGUUCGGCCGAGGACUCUAGUGAGACUGCCUUCGUAAGGAGGAGGAAGGUGAGGACGACGUCAAGUCAUCAUGGCCCUUACGGCUAGGGCAACACACGUGCUACAAUGGCCAGGACAGUGAGACGCGAUACCGUGAGGUGGAGCAAAUCUAUAAACCUGGUCUCAGUUCGGAUUGUAGUCUGCAACUCGACUACAUGAAGCUGGAAUCACUAGUAAUCGUAGAUCAGCUAUGCUACGGUGAAUACGUUCCCGGGUCUUGUACUCACCGCCCGUCACACCAUGGGAGUUGAUUUCACCCGAAGCGGGGAAGCUAAACUGGCUACCCUCCACGGUGGAAUUAGCGACUGGGGUGAAGUCGUAACAAGGUA
RNAcentral lists this ribosomal RNA (719 nucleotides) under uncultured bacterium. RNAcentral describes it as "bacterial SSU rRNA". It matches the Rfam family "Bacterial small subunit ribosomal RNA", at positions 773 to 1498 of the family's 1533-position model. The record is from RNAcentral.